UUAGAUUUUAUUUAUUAAUUUUAUAAAUUUUAUUCAAAAGUAUUAAAAUCAAUUAUAUUGGAAAAAGUUUUAGUAUUGUUUAAAGAAAAAAUAAUUUUAAUAAUAGUUUAAUAGUAUUGUAAAAGAAAAUUGAAAUAUUUUGAAAAAUUUUUAUUUUAAAAGAAAAUUUAAUUUAUUGUACCUUGUGUAUCAGCGUUUAUUAAAUAAAAAAUAUUUAAAUAUAUUUUUCUCGAUUUUAAAAGAGUUAAUAUAAUAUAAAAGUUAAUGUGAUAAAAUUAUUUUAAAUAUUAUAUUAGAAAUGAAAUGUUAUUCGUUUUUGAAGGUAUCUAGUUUUUCGAGAAAUAAAUUUAAUUUAGAAAUUGUAAAUUUAUUUAAAAAAUUUUUUUAAUUAAAUAAUUUAUAAUUUUAAUAUUUUAUGGGAUAAGCUAUAAAAUAAAUUUUUAUAAAUAAUAAAUAAAUUUAAAAAAUAUAUGCUUAGAAUUAGCAAUUAUUAAAAAUUGUGUUAUAAUUUAUUUUAUAAAUUAAAUUAUUUAUUAUAUUUUAAAUUUUUAUCGAAAUAUUAAUUUUAAUUUUUAAAAUUAAGUAAUAAUGAUAGAAUUAGUAUAUUUUAUUGUAAAAUAAAUUUAAGUGAUAAGUUUAAAUAAAGAAUUCGGCAAAAAUAAUAUCCGCCUGUUUAACAAAAACAUGUCUUUUUGAAUUAAAUUUAAAGUCUAACCUGCCCACUGAAAAAUUUUAAAUGGCCGCAGUAUUUUAACUGUGCAAAGGUAGCAUAAUCAUUAGUCUUUUAAUUGAAGGCUGGAAUGAAUGGUUGGACGAGAUAUUAACUGUUUCAUUUAAAUUUUUUAUAGAAUUUUAUUUUUUAGUCAAAAAGCUAAAAUUUAUUUAAAAGACGAGAAGACCCUAUAAAUCUUUAUAUUUUAUUUAUUUUAAUUAUAAAGAUUAUUUUUAUUAUAAUAAAUUAAAAUAUUUUAUUGGGGUGAUAUUAAAAUUUAAAAAACUUUUAAUGAUUUAAAUCAUUAAUGUAUGAAUAUUUGAUCCAUUUAUAAUGAUUAAAAAUUUAAGUUACUUUAGGGAUAACAGCGUAAUUUUUUUGGAGAGUUCAUAUCGAUAAAAAAGAUUGCGACCUCGAUGUUGGAUUAAGAGAUAAUUUUGGGUGUAGCCGUUCAAAUUUUAAGUCUGUUCGACUUUUAAAUUCUUACAUGAUCUGAGUUCAAACCGGCGUAAGCCAGGUUGGUUUCUAUCUUUAAAAAAUUAUAAUAUUUUAGUACGAAAGGACCAAAUAUUAGAAUAAUUUUAUUUUAAAAUAGAAUAAUAUUAAUUAAUAUAA
Molecule: ribosomal RNA, 1327 nt
Filed under: Drosophila littoralis
Lineage: Eukaryota; Metazoa; Arthropoda; Insecta; Diptera; Drosophilidae
Description: 16S ribosomal RNA
Rfam family: Archaeal large subunit ribosomal RNA (bases 1073-1232)
Source: RNAcentral